RNAcentral lists this ribosomal RNA (721 nucleotides) under Bacillus sp. (in: firmicutes). Its description in RNAcentral is "bacterial SSU rRNA". It matches the Rfam family "Bacterial small subunit ribosomal RNA", at positions 120 to 827 of the family's 1533-position model. The record is from RNAcentral. Lineage: Bacteria; Bacillati; Bacillota; Bacilli; Caryophanales; Bacillaceae.
GGUAACCUGCCUGUAAGACUGGGAUAACUCCGGGAAACCGGAGCUAAUACCGGAUAGUUCCUUGAACCGCAUGGUUCAAGGAUGAAAGACGGUUUCGGCUGUCACUUACAGAUGGACCCGCGGCGCAUUAGCUAGUUGGUGGGGUAAUGGCUCACCAAGGCGACGAUGCGUAGCCGACCUGAGAGGGUGAUCGGCCACACUGGGACUGAGACACGGCCCAGACUCCUACGGGAGGCAGCAGUAGGGAAUCUUCCGCAAUGGACGAAAGUCUGACGGAGCAACGCCGCGUGAGUGAUGAAGGUUUUCGGAUCGUAAAGCUCUGUUGUUAGGGAAGAACAAGUGCGAGAGUAACUGCUCGCACCUUGACGGUACCUAACCAGAAAGCCACGGCUAACUACGUGCCAGCAGCCGCGGUAAUACGUAGGUGGCAAGCGUUGUCCGGAAUUAUUGGGCGUAAAGGGCUCGCAGGCGGUUUCUUAAGUCUGAUGUGAAAGCCCCCGGCUCAACCGGGGAGGGUCAUUGGAAACUGGGAAACUUGAGUGCAGAAGAGGAGAGUGGAAUUCCACGUGUAGCGGUGAAAUGCGUAGAGAUGUGGAGGAACACCAGUGGCGAAGGCGACUCUCUGGUCUGUAACUGACGCUGAGGAGCGAAAGCGUGGGGAGCGAACAGGAUUAGAUACCCUGGUAGUCCACGCCGUAAACGAUGAGUGCUAAGUGUUAGG